This 467-nucleotide ribosomal RNA is filed under the name uncultured bacterium. RNAcentral's name for it is "bacterial SSU rRNA". It matches the Rfam family "Bacterial small subunit ribosomal RNA", at positions 29 to 524 of the family's 1533-position model. The record is from RNAcentral.
AAUGAACGCUGGCGGUAUGCUUAACACAUGCAAGUCGAACGAACAAAGCUGGAGCUUGCUUCAGUGGAGUGAGUGGCAAACGGGUGAGUAACACGUGGGAAUCUACCCAUCAGUACGGAAUAACAUUUGGAAACAAAUGCUAAUACCGUAUAUCCUCUACGGAGGAAAGAUUUAUCGCUGAUGGAUGAGCCCGCGCAAGAUUAGGUAGUUGGUGGGGUAAUUGCCUACCAAGCCUACGAUCUUUAGCUGGUCUGAGAGGAUGAUCAGCCACACUGGGACUGAGACACGGCCCAGACUCCUACGGGAGGCAGCAGUGGGGAAUAUUGGACAAUGGGCGAAAGCCUGAUCCAGCAAUACCGCGUGAAUGAUGAAGGCCUUAGGGUUGUAAAGUUCUUUUAAUAGGGAAAACAAUGACGGUACCUAUAGAAAAAAGCCCCGGCUAACUCCGUGCCAGCAGCCGCGGUAAC